GACAGAGGGUGCGAACGUUGUUCGGAAUUACUGGGCGUAAAGCGCAUGUAGGCGGCAGCGCAAGUCGGGCGUGAAAUCCCACGGCUCAACCGUGGAAGUGCACUCGAAACUGCGCAGCUAGAGUCCUGGAGAGGAAGGUGGAAUGCUUGGUGUAGAGGUGAAAUUCGUAGAUAUCAAGCGGAACACCGGUGGCGAAGGCGGCCUGCUGGGCAGUAGCUGACGCUGAUGCGCGACAGCGUGGGGAGCAAACAGG
Molecule: ribosomal RNA, 253 nt
Filed under: uncultured bacterium
Lineage: Bacteria
Description: partial 16S ribosomal RNA
Rfam family: Bacterial small subunit ribosomal RNA
Source: RNAcentral